GGAGUUGUGGCUCAGCGAGCGGUAAAGCACUCACCUAGCAUGUGUGAGGCCCUGGGUUCGAUCCUCGGCACCA
This 73-nucleotide transfer RNA is filed under the name Marmota monax (woodchuck). RNAcentral describes it as "tRNA.Ala". Lineage: Eukaryota; Metazoa; Chordata; Mammalia; Rodentia; Sciuridae. The record is from RNAcentral.